RNAcentral lists this long non-coding RNA (517 nucleotides) under Nicotiana benthamiana. Its description in RNAcentral is "long non-coding RNA (NBEN_LNC019766)". Lineage: Eukaryota; Viridiplantae; Streptophyta; Magnoliopsida; Solanales; Solanaceae. The record is from RNAcentral.
GGGUGAAAAAACAGCGAAAGAUCCAAAGUAGCAAUCAGCUCCAGUGUGUAUUGACAAAUGCAGUCACCGCCGUCUCUUCUGAAUUCCUCAUUUCUUCAUCAUUUUUCAAUAUUAUACUACUACUAUCUCCUUCUCGAAGUUUCUCUCUCAAACUUACGUAUACGUACAUGUACGUAUGACCAAAGGUGAAAUCUUUCUGUGUGUGAAAAUUGAGGGAUGUAUGCGAAGCGGAAGAAGCUAAGGCCUCGACUUGACCGGACAAACGCCCUAAAGAACGUCGAUUACGACGCUUCGCAGUCGACGCCGUCAUCGCCGUCGUCGUUCGAAGAUCAGCUUACUCACCGGACUCGGUCGCUUGACCUUUAUUCUUUGACCGACCGCACAAGCUUCAGCAGUCAUCGCCGUCGUCGGUCGAAGAUCAUCCUACUCACCGAACUCGGUCGCUUGACCUUUAUCCUUUGACCGACUGUACAAGCUUCAGAAUCGACGGUGUUGGCGGUGAAUUUGACGUUAUUUG